CAAGUCGAACGCUUCUUUCCUCCCGAGUGCUUGCACUCAAUUGGAAAGAGGAGUGGCGGACGGGUGAGUAACACGUGGGUAACCUACCCAUCAGAGGGGGAUAACACUUGGAAACAGGUGCUAAUACCGCAUAACAGUUUAUGCCGCAUGGUAUAAGAGUGAAAGGCGCUUUCGGGUGUCGCUGAUGGAUGGACCCGCGGUGCAUUAGCUAGUUGGUGAGGUAACGGCUCACCAAGGCCACGAUGCAUAGCCGACCUGAGAGGGUGAUCGGCCACACUGGGACUGAGACACGGCCCAGACUCCUACGGGAGGCAGCAGUAGGGAAUCUUCGGCAAUGGACGAAAGUCUGACCGAGCAACGCCGCGUGAGUGAAGAAGGUUUUCGGAUCGUAAAACUCUGUUGUUAGAGAAGAACAAGGACGUUAGUAACUGAACGUCCCCUGACGGUAUCUAACCAGAAAGCCACGGCUAACUACGUGCCAGCAGCCGCGGUAAUACGUAGGUGGCAAGCGUUGUCCGGAUUUAUUGGGCGUAAAGCGAGCGCAGGCGGUUUCUUAAGUCUGAUGUGAAAGCCCCCGGCUCAACCGGGGAGGGUCAUUGGAAACUGGGAGACUUGAGUGCAGAAGAGGAGAGUGGAAUUCCAUGUGUAGCGGUGAAAUGCGUAGAUAUAUGGAGGAAC
RNAcentral lists this ribosomal RNA (678 nucleotides) under uncultured Bacilli bacterium. RNAcentral describes it as "bacterial SSU rRNA". It matches the Rfam family "Bacterial small subunit ribosomal RNA", at positions 58 to 707 of the family's 1533-position model. The record is from RNAcentral. Lineage: Bacteria; Bacillati; Bacillota; Bacilli.